GUGAAAGCAAUUUCACAUUGUGUCACAAUUGAAAAUGGAUUCAUCUCUUAAUUCUGUGUGUCCUUGCAUAUUUUUAAGAAAUUAAUAUUCUUUACGUCCACAAUUUAGGUCAAAGAUAAAAUUUCUGCUACAUUAGUUCAUUAUAAAAUUUAUAAUGUGCAGAUAGUUUGUAUCGUAAUUGGUCUAUAAUCAACUGAAGUAGAGUCAAUACAAUGCACCGUUGAACUAAAUUGACUCAAAGCUCACACUCAAUUGAGCUUUAUAUUUUAUGUUCAAACAUGUUUCAAUAUAGUACUCGAGUUGCUUGAGUUUAGUAUGACUCAUCUUGAUUACCGCAACAAAUUCAAUUCAAGUUUUUAACUGACCUGGAAUUAACUUUCUAAUAAACUCAAGUAAGUUUCUUAAGUUAUUGUUUAAAUUAGAAGGUAGGGUUCCAAGCUACAUGAGUUAUGUAUUGUAAUACUCAAGCUAGAAUUGACUCAUUACUUGAGUUAUUUGAGUUCAAGCUCAACCUAACUACUGUCAAAUUCAAAAAGUUUGCAAGUCAAGUUCAAUGAGCCCACAAGUAGCUUAGCUCACUUGCUCACCCUAACCAUGUAGUUAAGGAAGCUCAUGAUCUAAUAGUUUUGUUGGUUACGAUGUUACUUCUUUUCAAUUCUUGCUCUUAACAUAACUUUAAAU
Molecule: unclassified non-coding RNA, 681 nt
Filed under: Hevea brasiliensis (rubber tree)
Lineage: Eukaryota; Viridiplantae; Streptophyta; Magnoliopsida; Malpighiales; Euphorbiaceae
Source: RNAcentral